UAAACUUUUCUGGUUAGAAUUUUAGGGAGAAGAAGAGGUGUUUGUAUAAUAGUUGCGCAUUUUAAGGAUAAUUUGCUUCUUAUCUUGAAAUAAUGUUUGAAGUUCUUCCCCUUUCAUUGUUUUAGCUGUCAUUACAUUUAAAAAUUUUCGAUAUCUCAAUAUUUGGCUCUGUAAAAUUAAUGUUAUUAGUUAAAUAAUUGUGCUUGUUUGUCUUAUUCUUAUUCUAAUUUUUAUUUUCGUGAACGCUACAUUGAUAUUUCUCAAUGUAUUCCCUUUUUCUCCCACUUAUGUAUGUAUUUUUUCCAUAUUGCAUUAAAUUGUAAAUUACUUUAACAAAUCAUGAACUAAUUGAAACAAGAAUGGAAGAAAAUAGAAAUAAUGUGUCUGCCCAAGAAAGAACUUCUGAGAGAAAUUUGCGUCGUCGUACCAGAUAUGCACAGAUGUCACCAGAGAGAAAGCAAGUAUUUUUAUCCGAGCUAAGAGAAUAAAGGGCUGAGUCAAAAAGACAAAAACACCUUCAUCAAUCAAAUACUACUGCCGCUCUUACAAUCAAUAGUUCUUCAUUAUCGCCUCAGGAAGUUGAAGCUUCUGAAGACACAAACCUACCAGUUACUUUAACUACAGGACAUCAUCAAUCAAAUAGUACUGGCGCCCUUACAAUCAACACUUCUUCGUUAUCUCCUCAACAAGUUGAAGCUUUCGAAGUUACAAACCUACCAGUUAAUUUAACUACAGGAGAACAUCAAUUAAAUAGUACUGGCUCCCUUACAAUCAGCACUUCUUUGUUAUUUCCUCAAGAAGUUGAAGCUUCUGAAGCUAUAAACCUACCAGUUACUUCAACUAGAGGAGAAAGUAUAGUUAAUUGCUUAUCUACCUUUGAAGUAGGAUCAACGUCGGGUUCAUCUUAUGCUGCAAGCAGAUCAAGUUCAAGACGUACAUCAAAUAGAGGUAUGCUUCUCUCUACCAUAGUAAAAAAAUUGUAUGCCUUUAUGUAACAAAUAAUUGCUUUUUACCAUGCACAGGUAGAAAUAAGUUAGAAGUAAAUCUACAAAAUGAUAAUUUAUUGCUAAAAGAUUACUUACUUUUAAAGAAAAUUCCAAAUUACAAAUUUUGUGCAGCAAAAAGAUUUCAAUAUGAAUCACCAGGUUUUUGUUGUAAUAAUGGAUAAUUAGGCUAACUUCUCAUAACAUGCUAUUGAGUUGAGAAAUUUAUUCUUACGUG
This is a non-coding RNA of Solanum lycopersicum (tomato), 1221 nucleotides long. The record is from RefSeq and is a predicted model, not a curated record. Lineage: Eukaryota; Viridiplantae; Streptophyta; Magnoliopsida; Solanales; Solanaceae.